This 301-nucleotide ribosomal RNA is filed under the name uncultured bacterium. Its description in RNAcentral is "partial 16S ribosomal RNA". It matches the Rfam family "Bacterial small subunit ribosomal RNA", at positions 509 to 807 of the family's 1533-position model. The record is from RNAcentral.
CAGCAGCCGCGGGAAUACGAAGGGUGCAAGCGUUAAUCGGAAUUACUGGGCGUAAAGCGUGCGUAGCCGGUGAGUUAAGUCUGCUGUGAAAUCCCCGGGCUCAACCUGGGAAUGGCAGUGGAUACUGGCUCGCUAGAGUGUGUCAGAGGAUAGUGGAAUUCCCGGUGUAGCGGUGAAAUGCGUAGAGAUCGGGAGGAACAUCAGUGGCGAAGGCGGCCAUCUGGGACAACACUGACGCUGAGGCACGAAAGCGUGGGGAGCAAACAGGAUUAGAUACCCGAGUAGUCCCUGUCUCUUAUAC